This is a long non-coding RNA of Dicentrarchus labrax (European seabass), 573 nucleotides long. RefSeq lists it as uncharacterized. The record is from RefSeq and is a predicted model, not a curated record. Lineage: Eukaryota; Metazoa; Chordata; Actinopteri; Moronidae. The transcript is spliced from 3 exons.
AAGUGGGGUAUUUCUCCACGUUGGUAUGUCCGAUUUACACCAACCUUGGGUCAAUAGUUCCCCAUGUCUUCAUUAUGUAUCGUGCACAAUUUCAGGUCAUCACCACUAGGUGGCGCUCUUUAAAAUGAAGGAGUUUAUAGCUCUACAACGGUAUGCGUGAUUAAGAUGAAACUUGGUACGCUGCUUCCCCAUGGCUCCCUGAGGCUCACUUAAAAAGGACAAAAAAAAUACGCCACUAGGUGGUGCUCUUUUGGCAUGAUAAAUCACUCGUAAUAGUUAUGAAUAUGAAAUUCACAGGGUACGUGUAGAGUGGUGCCUGAAGCUCACAUACCAAAAAUCCUGUUUGUCCUGCUUGUAGCGCCCCCUACAGGAUAAAAAAACAUCAGCCCCGGCGCCACGUUUCACCGACAUGUACGAAACUCAAUAGGCAUGUAUAAUGUGCCGGGGCGUACAAAAAAGCCUCUUGGACCCAUACCUCAAAUCCCACAGGAAGUCGGCUAUUUUCAUUUAAAAUUUGCACUUUUGGCGGCCAUUUUGUGGUCAUUUUGACUCUUUGGCCUUGUUUUAGAACUA